RNAcentral lists this ribosomal RNA (253 nucleotides) under uncultured bacterium. Its description in RNAcentral is "partial 16S ribosomal RNA". It matches the Rfam family "Bacterial small subunit ribosomal RNA", at positions 524 to 776 of the family's 1533-position model. The record is from RNAcentral.
GACGUAGGGGGCCAGCGUUGCUCGGAAUUACUGGGCGUAAAGGGUUCGUAGGCGGUGUGGCAAGUCGGGAGUGAAAUCUCUGGGCUUAACUCAGAGGCUGCUUCCGAAACUGCCGUGCUAGAGUGCGGGAGAGGCGAGUGGAAUUGCAGGUGUAGCGGUGAAAUGCGUAGAUAUCUGCAGGAACACCCGUGGCGAAGGCGGCUCGCUGGACCGCAACUGACGCUGAGGAACGAAAGCUAGGGGAGCAAACAGG